AAUCAACGCUGGCGGCGUGCCUCAGACAUGCAAGUCGAACGAUUAAGACUUCCUUCGGGAAGUGUAUAAAGUGGCGCACGGGUGAGUAACACGUAAGUAAUCUGCAUUCGAAGUGGGGAAUACCUUCGGGAAACCGAAGAUAAUACCGCAUAAUGCAGCGGCACCGCAAGGUGACAGUUGUUAAAGGAGCAAUCCGCUUGAAGAGGAGCUUGCGGCAGAUUAGCUAGNGGUAAGGUAACGGCUUACCAAGGCUACGAUCUGUAUCCGGUCUAAGAGGACGGUCGGACACACUGACACUGAAUAACGGGUCAGACUCCUACGGGAGGCAGCA
This 331-nucleotide ribosomal RNA is filed under the name uncultured bacterium. Its description in RNAcentral is "bacterial SSU rRNA". It matches the Rfam family "Bacterial small subunit ribosomal RNA", at positions 32 to 353 of the family's 1533-position model. The record is from RNAcentral.